Molecule: ribosomal RNA, 844 nt
Filed under: uncultured archaeon
Lineage: Archaea
Description: bacterial SSU rRNA
Rfam family: Archaeal small subunit ribosomal RNA
Source: RNAcentral
CCAGAGGCCAUUGCUAUCAGGGUUUGACUAAGCCAUGCGAGUCGAGAGGUGUAAGACCUCGGCAUACUGCUCAGUAACACGUGGUUAACCUGCCCUAAGGUGGAGAAUACUCCCGGGAAACUGGGGCUAAUGCUCCAUAGUGGAUAUGUCCUGGAAUGGCAUAUCCUCGAAAGAUCCGUCGCCUUAGGAUGGGACUGCGUCCGAUUAGGUUGUUGGCGGGGUAACGGCCCACCAAGCCAUUGAUCGGUACGGGUUGUGGGAGCAAGAUCCCGGAGAUGGAUUCUGAGACAUGAAUCCAGGCCCUACGGGGCGCAGCAGGCGCGCAAACUUUACAAUGCGAGCAAUCGUGAUAAGGAAACCCUGAGUGCCUGUCGAUGCAGGCUGUUCAUAUAUCUAAAUCAUAUGUGAAGAAAGGGCAGGGCAAGACCGGUGCCAGCCGCCGCGGUAAUACCGGCUGCUCGAGUGAUGGCCACUAUUACUGGGUUUAAAGCGUCCGUAGCUUGACUGUUAGGUCUCUUGGGAAAUCUUCACGCUCAACGUGAAGGCGUCUAAGAGAUACCGGCAGUCUUGGAACUGGGAGAGGUAAACCGUACUUCGGGGGUAGGAGUGAAAUCUUGUAAUCCUCGAGGGACGACCUAUGGCGAAGGCAGUUUACCAGAACAGCUUCGACAGUGAGGGACGAAAGCUGGGGGAGCAAACGGGAUUAGAUACCCCGGUAGUCCCAGCCGUAAACAAUGUGCGUUAGGUGUGUCGGUAACCACGUGUUACUGAUGCGCCGAAGAGAAAUCGUGAAACGCACCACCUGGGAAGUACGGUCGCAAGGCUGAAACUUAAAGGAAUUGGC